GUUUAAAAUGUAUCGGUCUGUUUUGAUUUGGGAAGUGGCGGGUUUUCUACCUUUUCACGCUGUGAUUUUAGUCUUCGAAAAUUAGGACUGGUUACAUGCAAGCGCUGAUGUUGAGGCAGCAGAGCCUAAGAGGAGAUCUGAGAGAUUGGUAAAUAAACCUGCAAUUGCAAAGGCAGAGCCCAAGCCAAAGAAGGAGAAGGCAGCACCUAAACCCAAGAAGGCUAAAGAGGUGAAAAAGACCGAGCCUGAGAAGGAGGUGCCCGCAGAGAAUGGAGAAGCCAAAGCUGAGGAAGAGGCACCAGAAGAACCUGAACAGAAAGAGGAAGAAGAGGCGGCCGAAUAACAUCUCUCAAACCACAUCUUUUAUCAGUGCUCCCUGUACCUCUUUUUCUUGUACAAUUCAGGGGUAUAUUUUUAUCGACUAUUUUCUAAAUGCAGGUUUUUUAGUAGUUUGAUUGUAGAAACACAUUUUUUUAUGAAAUAAAAAAUACAAUUUGAGAUGGGGAUUUCAUUGCAUCCCAUGUUUUUACAUCUCUGGAACAAUUACGGUCAUUGUAAAUGUCAACGGUUUUUAUUUUCGAUAUGGGGGAGGGGUGGGAAUGAGACAGGUUACUACACCAAGAACAUGCAAGCACGUCGUUUACAGGAUCUGGUCAAAACAACAGAGAGCUUGUCUGAGAGACUAACAUUCCAUAGGCUAUAUGAGGGAAGGUAUACGUAACCUGCAUUGUGUGGUGGGGAUGAAUUAACUCAAGGGGGAACACAUUGUUUUAUUGUUUAUAAUGAGGAAAACAUUUUAAGGUGUUUAAACUGUGUUCCAUAUGUUAACUCUUGUACUCAUUAUGUUUUUCUUUACCAUUCUGCUCAAUAAACCUAUUCCCUAGUACUGGAGUUCCUCCCUAUCAGGCCUGUGCAUUGGGUGUAAUUGGUUGGCUCUGUUCUGUGAUAGCAUUGCAAUAAAUUUGUAUAGCUGCUAUUAAAAGGGGUUUUCGACUUUCUAUAUGCAGUGUGUAAUGGUACAUUGUGAGUAUGGUAAAAAUGGAAUUGUGUUCUUAGCCAAGCUAAAGAAGUACAUAAGUUAAAUAUACUGACGAUUAUGGUUCCUUGGAUGCUGAGAAACUGUACAUCCAUUUGAGCUGUCAAAUACACAAACCAGCAGUAGCAAUAUUCAUGUGGGGUUUAGGUAUCAAGUACAAGUGUACAGUUCUUUUAUCCUUUGUUUAUAGAUGUAUCUGUGUAAUGAUUGGUAUAAACAAACCAAUAAAAAUUUGGUUGUA
Oncorhynchus tshawytscha (Chinook salmon) is the source of this 1277-nucleotide long non-coding RNA. Lineage: Eukaryota; Metazoa; Chordata; Actinopteri; Salmoniformes; Salmonidae. The record is from Ensembl.